Molecule: ribosomal RNA, 440 nt
Filed under: uncultured bacterium
Lineage: Bacteria
Description: partial 16S ribosomal RNA
Rfam family: Bacterial small subunit ribosomal RNA
Source: RNAcentral
CCUACGGGAGGCAGCAGUGGGGGAUAUUGCACAAUGGGGGAUACCCUGAAGCAGCGACGCCGCGUGAGGGAAGAAGUAUCUCGGGAUGUAAAGCUCCAUCAGCAGGGAAGAAAAUGACAGUACCUGAACAAGAAGCCCCGGCCAACUACGUGCCAGCAGCCGCGGUAAUACGUAGGGGGCCAGCGUUAUCCGGAUUUACUGGGUGUAAAGGGAGCGUAGACGGUUAUGUAAGUCAGGAGUGAAAGCGCGGGGCCCAACCCCGGGAUUGCUUUGGAAACUGUGUAACUGGAGUACAGGAGGGGCAGGCGGAAUUCCUGGUGUAGCGGUGAAAUGCGUAGAUAUCAGGAGGAACACCGACGGCGAAGGCAGCCUGCUGGACUGAAACUGACGUUGAGGCUCGAAAGCGUGGGUAGCAAACAGGAUUAGAUACCCUAGUAGUC